RNAcentral lists this long non-coding RNA (563 nucleotides) under Sparus aurata (gilthead seabream). RNAcentral describes it as "lncRNA (ENSSAUG00010013036.1)". The record is from RNAcentral. Lineage: Eukaryota; Metazoa; Chordata; Actinopteri; Spariformes; Sparidae.
AUGUCGGGCAAGAAAAGAAAGGUGGAAGACAUUAGAAGCUAUUUCACCAAACGAAGUGUAAGUCACCUGAGGAAAAUAGUCCCCUCUCAUAGGCUGCCGCUAAUGAAUCCAAAUCAUUGUGUCCAACCGUUUUCUCACUCUGAAUGGCGAUUGAUUUGUUACUUUGUCAGACAGAGGAACCCCGGCCAGGUUGGAGCUCAUACAGGGAAGAUUCAUGGCUACAGCAUACCUGUACGUCGCCACCUCCAGGUUCAGAGACGUCUUCGUCUGCAGGAGGCCGCGGUUCUCCAGGACCAGGCGGUGGAUCUGCUGGCCCAGCUCCUCUCUCUCCGCCUCCAGGCCCUCCAAGUGCUCCUGCCAAAAACAGGAAGUGAAAGAGGAAAAGGAAGCGGUUUAAAAAAAGACUUGCACGUCAGCACUCUUCUGGUUGCUGGUCGUCCAGGACCACACUGGGAGAACGCAGCUUUGUCCUCAUAAGUGCUCCAUUUCGGGUGCUUCACCUCUCUGACUCCACCGUGACCCUGAACUAAUCCCACCAGACUCAGCCUAUAAAUAUGUAGUCG